RNAcentral lists this non-coding RNA (135 nucleotides) under Streptomyces qinglanensis. Lineage: Bacteria; Bacillati; Actinomycetota; Actinomycetes; Kitasatosporales; Streptomycetaceae. The record is from RNAcentral.
AGAUGUAUGGUGUCUCACGGCUGUCGCCCUCGACGCAGGGGAAUCCGGUGCGAAUCCGGAACUGUCCCGCAACGGUGAGGGGCCGGCGCGAGCCCGCCCGCAAGUCCGAGUACCUGCCGGCGGCGGCCCGAAGAA